This 496-nucleotide ribosomal RNA is filed under the name uncultured bacterium. RNAcentral's name for it is "partial 16S ribosomal RNA". It matches the Rfam family "Bacterial small subunit ribosomal RNA", at positions 28 to 506 of the family's 1533-position model. The record is from RNAcentral.
GAUGAACGCUGGCGGCGUGCCUAAUACAUGCAAGUCGAGCGAACAGAUGAGGAGCUUGCUCCUCUGACGUUAGCGGCGGACGGGUGAGUAACACGUGGAUAACCUACCUAUAAGACUGGGAUAACUUCGGGAAACCGGAGCUAAUACCGGAUAAUAUAUUGAACCGCAUGGUUCAAUAGUGAAAGACGGUUUUGCUGUAACUUAUAGAUGGAUCCGCGCCGCAUUAGCUAGUUGGUAAGGUAACGGCUUACCAAGGCAACGAUGCGUAGCCGACCUGAGAGGGUGAUCGGCCACACUGGAACUGAGACACGGUACAGACUCCUACGGGAGGCAGCAGUAGGGAAGCUUCCGCAAUGGGCGAAAGCCUGACGGAGCAACGCCGCGUGAGUGAUGAAGGGCUUCGGAUCGUAAAACUCUGUUAUGAGGGAAGAACAAAUGUGUAAGUAACUAUGCACGUCUUGACGGUACCGAAACAGAAAGCCACGGCUAACUACGU